UGGGCUUCUAUGCUGCUCCUUUCCUGUGUGAAUGUAAAGUGUGCUGCUCACAACUUUUGCUUUUCCGCAUGAGUUUUCCUGGGAAGAAAGUAUAUUCCUCCGUUCUUCUGAGUCGCCCUUGAAAGCAGGGACUGGGGUCUACUUCUGGUUAAGAAACGUCACUUUAAAGUACAUAUACACAGAACACAACUGCUUAUAAUUUUUUGCUCCUUCACAGUCUUGGAAUGAAGAUGGAGCCCAUUGCCACACCUUCUACUGAUUCCCAUUAAAUGGGUCCUCAUGCUUUCACUUCAGCAUUUGUAUCAGGAGACCUUCUGAAUAUUCAUAUUCUUGGGAUGCUGUAAGAGGAACAUAAAGCUACAAUUCAGAGAAAAUACGUAUGUGUUCGGUGGGUCUGAAGAAUCAAUCCAUCAGAAUUGGAAAUUAAAGAAACACAAAACCGGUCCUGUGCCAAGUGUGGCUUGGCAAGUUCUCACAAGGAGGAACACUUUCUCUGCAAUGGUAGACACUUAGCCUGGGGUCUCUCCACCACCUCGAAGGACCUACAGACCCCCUUCCCAACAGUGUGCUCUAUGAGAUGCAGCUUGGAACAGAAACAUACAAACACCCAGGUUGGGGUGUGCUGGGCUGAGGUUGGGAUUCUAGUCUAGAUGGGGGUCCUGCCUGGUGGUUUAGAGUGGGUGGUGAAAUGCAGCAAAUCGAGGUGGAAAUGGGUUGUUAAAGACUCGUGUUUUGCAGGCAGAUCAGCGUUGAACAAUGGCCUUGGAGGGCGGGGAGGGAAGCCGGAAUCUAUAGCCUCUGCAGAUACCCUGGUAGGAAAUACACCUGUUGCGGGUGACCCCAAGGGACCAGCAUGGGGGUCUGCGGGCAGAGAUGCUAAUGAUGGCCCAAGCCAGCUCCAGCACAGCCCUGGGAGCCCCAGUACCUACCCUGACGACGGCAGGGCAGCUGCACAUAAGGAAGUAACACUGUCCAUACAGAACAACACGGAUUGGAGAAGAGGUCUCGCCAUGACCUGGGACUAGGACCCUGAGAAAAACUGACAAGGCCAAAGAUGUUUCUCUUAGCCCUUGGCCAACAUCUGAUGAAGGCGCUUCCCCCAGCGAGGCUGAAUGUUAACUCCCGAGAUGCACCAGCCGUGGCUUAUUUGUGUAUGUCUGUCCUUCUAAAUCACACAUGCAUAUUACUUGAUGAUUUUUUAGUUACCUGUUUAAAUAAUUGAAGUUCAACAAAGGAUAAUCAUGCUUUGCAGAGUUCGGAAGUUCCCAAGGCACUCUUGGAUUUGAUAAUGCACCAGAAGGACUCAUAGGAUCACAGAAAGCUGUUCUACUCACAGUUGUUGUUUGUUACAGCAGAGGGAUAGGGACAAAAGUCAGCCAAGGGAAGAGGAGCCGGUGGGGAAGCAGUGACCAGGACACACCCAGGCACAGAGCCUUCAGUUGUCCUGUGCCGGGCAACGGGGGGCAGCGCUGGCUUCUUCUGGUAAUUAUGUGUGGCAAUAUACUUGGAGUUUCGUCAACCAGGGAAGCUUCCAGAGCCUUGGUGUUUGGAGUUUUUAUUAGGAUUCUGUCAUAAUUGACUACCCGUCUGCCUGACCUUUAGCCUCCAGACCCUCUUGACCUUGAGCUAAUAGCAUGUGUCCCACAGACCCUUCCAGAAAUUCCAUUAUAGACGAUCAGUCUACAGGUAAACAGAUACUCUCAUCAAGCAGGAUGCUCCAGAGGCUUAGAGAUGACCGUCCAGGGGGCAGGGGCAAAGGCUGGUGCUCUCCAGGUUUGGUUAGUUGUUGACUACACACCCUUGAACAUAUUACUAUAAAAAUACUUUUGAACUUAAGAGACACAGGUCCCCAGCUGGUGUUCCGCGGACAGACCAGGGAAGCCACACCCUUUACACAAUGCUGUUCAGUGACUCUUAUCCUUGCGUUUGCAGAAAGAAUGUGCAAUGUAUUUCCUUAAAUUAGCACACAUAGGAGACAAAUCAGUCACAGUGCCUGACGUAGCCAUAGCCCCUCAAGAAAACGGCCGCCAUUCCUGGGGUGGCCAGUGUUUGUCAGAGACAGUAUGAGUCCUAGGACCAGAUCCUUUGGCCCAGCCUGACUUAGAAAUGGGCCCCGCAGGCAAUGACGGUCCGUUCACCAGCUGGUCUCGGGGCUGCGGCAUGAUUCAAUGCCAAAGUCUCCGUUCAGAUGUGAUUUACUGACAUUAUCAGCAGAGCCUACCGGAAGCCCUCGCCUAAAGUUAUACUGGACAUCGAAGAACAGUUAGGCCAGUAGGAAAUGAGAGGAGUGUGUAGAACACAGAGUAGUUGAAUCACAUUGAUGGGGAGUGAGGUCCUAGGGUCCCCCCUUGUGGGAUCCUGGAUGAUAAUGCAGUUGAUUCCCUCUUACGAUUUUUAACAGUUCCUCUGAAAGAGGCGCCCGGGUGACUCGGUCGGUUCAGUUAAGUGUCUGCCUUCGGCUCAGGUCAUAAUCCAGGGUCCUGGGAUCGAGCCCCGAGGUGGGCUCCCUGCUCAGCGGGGAGCCUGCUUCUCCCCCUGCUCGAGCGCUUGUUCUCUGUCAGAUAAAUAAAUAACAUCUUUAAAUUAAAAAAAAAAUUCCUCUGAGUUUCAAUCUCUUUAUUGCCUCUCACACAUACUCCUAAUCAAGGCUGAGUGCAUCUAGUCCUUAAGAGCGACAGAGGCACGUUGAAGCGAUUAUCAAAGGUCAGUGCUGAGUCAGUCAAGGACACAAGGAGCUUAGAUCAUCCUCCCUUUGAAUGAAAGUUGAAGGUUUUUGAAAAAACGGGCAAUGCGAAUCACUCAUUCUUUCUCCUUGAGGAAACCUUUGCAUGCCUUUAACAAGAAAAUGUUAAGCCCGAUGUUUUUAAAAAUGUAAAUGGCGGGUCUAGAUGGACCACAUAUUAUCUGGUUCUUCACAUUCAGUAUCAUUUUAUUUUAUUUUCCAUGAAUACUGAGUAGGAUAGACUGUAUUUCCUGUUUCCUGAAGUGGGAUUUUCAUCACGGUUCAAUAAUGAAUAUUGAAGGACUUCUUGCGAUUGUAAUUGACGACGGUUUACAUCAAACUCUAAUAGCAGCGAUCGGACUUCACCGGAUCUGUGGGUGGAAAUAAUUUAAUGGGACAUUUCAUCAGGAAAAGAAGUCUUUUCUGUGCACCGUCAGCUCCGUUUGGUUCCUGGACAAAAUGAAGCUGCUCCAUGAACAGCGUCUGUCCUGUCUCUGAUUUCAAGGGUAAACUGUUCUUUCUUAGGCUUUUGGAAAGGUGUUUUGCAAGCGUGGACGGAAGGCCGAUAAAGUCACGCAGAACAAGGUCAUGGACAUGGUACCGAUCUUUAUUCGUAUUUGGAAGGUGGCAGCUAAGUGUGCUUCAGCGGGUACUGAGCCAGGAGUUGAAGGCUGUUUCCUGCUUAGCUCUGUGGCUUUGGGAAACGCACAUAACCUCUUUGGGCUUCAGUUUCAUUUUCUACCAAAUAAAGAGGU
Long non-coding RNA from Mustela lutreola (European mink), 3477 nucleotides. RefSeq lists it as uncharacterized. The record is from RefSeq and is a predicted model, not a curated record. The transcript is spliced from 5 exons. NCBI's taxonomy places the organism in Eukaryota, Metazoa, Chordata, Mammalia, Carnivora, Mustelidae.